This 630-nucleotide ribosomal RNA is filed under the name uncultured Russulaceae. Its description in RNAcentral is "LSU rRNA". It matches the Rfam family "Eukaryotic large subunit ribosomal RNA", at positions 47 to 649 of the family's 3401-position model. The record is from RNAcentral. Lineage: Eukaryota; Fungi; Basidiomycota; Agaricomycetes; Russulales; Russulaceae.
UAAGCGGAGGNAAAGAAACUNACNAGGAUUCCCCUAGUNACUGCGAGUGAAGCGGGAAAAGCUCAAAUUUAAAAUCUGGUGGCCUUUNGUCCAUCCGAGUUGUAAUUUAGAGANGCGUCUUCCGCGCUGGACCGUGCACAAGUCUCCUGGAACGGAGCGUCAUAGAGGGUGAGAAUCCCGUCUUUGGCACGGACACACCAGGGCUUUUGUGAUGCGCUCUCAAAGAGUCGAGUUGUUUGGGAAUGCAGCUCAAAAUGGGUGGUGAACUCCAUCUAAAGCUAAAUAUUGGCGAGAGACCGAUAGCGAACAAGUACCGUGAGGGAAAGAUGAAAAGCACUUUGGAAAGAGAGUGAAACAGUACGUGAAAUUGUUGAAAGGGAAACGCUUGAAGUCAGUCGCGUCGCCCGAGACUCAGCCUUGCCUCGGCUUGGUGUACUUCUCGGCUGACGGGUCAGCAUCAAUUUUGCCCCUUGGAUAAUGGCGAGGGAAAUGUGACACCUUUACGGGUGUGUUAUAGUCUCUCGUCGCAUGCAAGGGUCGGGAUUGAGGAACUCAGCACGCGCCCUCGGGCGUCGGGGCAUCUGCCCACGAUACGUGCUUAGGAUGUUGGCGUAAUGGCUUUAAACGACC